CGUCGCUGUCCCCUCCCCUGGCACCGGGCAGCGCCGGGCACUGGCGGCACCGAGCAUCCUCCUCCCGCGCCAUCCGCACCAGUCGGCACCUUCAUCCCAGCAGCCGCUCCCUGUAAUGUGUAGCACCGGGAAUCUCAUCCCACGCAAACACCCGGCGCGGUACCGCACCGCUACCCGCGACCCCGCACUCUCCCUCCCCUGGUCCAGCGCAGCUCUGUUCCCUGCAGCGGCCCCUCCCGCAGUUCUGUGCAGCGCUGGACACCCCCAUGCGGUUCCCCCUCCGCGCCUGUAUCGCUCAGCACCAUUGCCUGCGCUGUCCGGAUCGGUGCCUCGCUACACAAAACACCCCCAGCACGGAGCGGCACCCACCCCUCUUGCCUUGCGCAGCACCCACCCAUGCAGGCAGUGUCCCUGCAGCGCUGCGCAGCACCAGGCAUCCCUGCAGCCUUCCCACCAGCCAGCAUUGUGCCUCUCUGCCCUGCACACGGAUUCUGCCCCACCACUGCAUUGCCUGUCACCUUCAUCCUUUAUUCAGAGGCAAAAACCCACAGGGCAGAUUUUGGGGAAGCAGGCCAGGACACCCGCUCCAACACUCUUCCUGCAGGGGACAUCCCUGCACAUGGCAGCACUGUUUGGGGCAUUGAUCUGUCCCUGCCCUGUCCCUUAAGGAUCAGGUCCAAAAUUGCCUACACAUUGUUGCGGGCAAUUCCUCGAAGCUGUCUGCCCAGGCUUGGCCCUUUGCCCUGUGGCUUGGCUCUUGGCACCUGCACUCCAGAAAUUGGAGCUCUGCAAAGGUUAAAUCUGGACUUGCAGACAGAUCCCAGCAUCUUUACGUCUGUGGAAAGACUCAUGUAAAGUAGACACCGAGUGCUCCAUAUCUCUCAUUCCAUUACCACGUUUUCUUGCUACAAGGGAAUGUUCAUGAUUUAUAAUAAAAUGAAUCAUGAGAUCGUUCUUUGGCUGUUAAAUGAACUGUGGUUUCUAAAUUAAACUGUUUCCUUCUAAAUACUGAAACAACUGCCUUUAAUCACAGCUGGAGGCCCCAAGUGAUGCCUUGUCAUUUCCAAGGCCAAAUUUUGCCAGGCACUCUAGAAUUCGUGAAUUCCAAGCUGCUUGCAAGCUUCCUGAAUAGUUGAGGUGGUCUUCAACAAUUUUUGUGGAAAUAGGCAAUAUAUUAUCUAUAGUGAAAAAAUUAUACAUAGUAAUCAUAAAUACACUUGAUGACAUGAGAAAGAGGGGUCCUGGGAGCAACCUAUCAGCUGGGCAAAAAAAAUUAAGCAACUGGAUUAAACAGCACCAUAAUUGAAAUUGCUUUAGUGACUGCAUGGCAGUGCUUUCCUAUAUGACACUCAGGAUCUGUUUUAUGUGUAGCAAUACUUAAAAGUCUUUUGAGCAAUGUGCAUGUGUAGCAGUUAAGUAAUUUCCCUGGUUGCAGACAGUGGAAAAGUUUGGAAGUGUGUUUUAGAGAAUAUUUCUAUUGUCUGAACUUUUAAAAGCCUUCUGCUAAAGCAGGGGCAUGUCUUUAUAAUUGUGGGCUGCCCAGUCAAAUCUGAACUGACAUGCAAGAGCUUUUUGGUAGGAGACAGGUUUGCAGUGGUGUGAGGAGGGUGUUUUUAUUCUACCAGCUGGUAGAGCUCGGGUGUGGAAGAGGUGCAGACCAGGAACAAGGACAACCAGUUUUGAAAGAGCUUUUUGUUCAUGCAGACAACAGGCAGAGGGAAGAGGGCUGGAGGCACAAAGAGUCACAGCAGCAAGAGUGGAGCUGUCCCAGGCUGGGGAUCACCUCAAGUCAUUCCUUCCUGUGCUGGCUUGGUGCAGCAGCAAUCUGUCUGCAUCGAAGCAGAGGCUUUAAUCUGUGCAGCAGCAGCCAUGCAUGUCCUGGAGGCUUUUCAGUUGAUGUCCCAGUGAUGCCCUCAGAGGCACAGCUUCUUGCAGAUCUUUUACUGUGGAAAAUGGUCAGGGUAGCACAGGUCAAAGCAGAGACCACAAGGACAACUCCUAAAUAUCCUGCAAGGCUGGGUGUGCCCAGCUAAUCUGACUGUGACGUGCUCUUUGCUGCAUUCAGGAUGAGCUGCUACUCUGAGGGGCUCUGCUCAAACGAGGUCCACUGCAUCAGGGUCAGCACAGCUCCCUGCUCCUCGGGCAGCUCCACAUGCCAUGACUGCCUCUGCACUGUCCAUGAGGAAGGUAAGAGAGGAGAGGAAGUUGAGGACAUAAUAGGAAUGGGAAGGGGACAAGAUGAGGAUGAUAUGGCAGAACAAAGAUCGUUUGCUGGGACUGCAAAAUGCAAUUGCAAAGGCCUGACUCUAGGAGGGGGUGCAGGAGAGUGACCAUUGCAGGGAUCUGUAGGAAGGGAUACAUCGUGGCUUAAGUGCAAACUGCUGACUCAUUCCUGUUCCAAAUCACGCUCCUCUGGUGGCACAGUGGGGCAGCUGGCAGCAGGAAAACUGAUUGGGAAGAGCCCUGUGGGAGAAGGUUUCACUGCUUUCAAGCUGCUGCUUAGAUACCUAGAUGCAUGUGGGAAAAAUGCAGACUGCUUGUUUUCUGAGAAAAAAAAAAAAUAGAAGAUUAGUCUCCUUUGUUAGCAGGAGUUCUGGCCUUAGAGUCCUCCACAUGACAGGUAGAACUGGUUAUAAGGGACAAAAGGCAGGGCAAGGCUGACAGGAAGGAUGCUAGAAGGACACUGUUGUCCAGCUGAGCACCCUGGCUCUUGCAGGGCAGUCCUCUGUCUCUGUAACCUCCCCAGAUCCCUGCAUUCAGAAUCCCCUACUCCAGGGCUCUGAGGCAUUUUCCCAGGAAGGUGACAGACUUCCCCACCUGGAGGGGACCCCUGGAAGCAGCACCUCUCCUUCCACCUCCUGGAAGCAUGUCCCAACUCUUCUUAAGCCCUGCAGAUGCAGACUGCAGCCUUUCUUCUCUGCUGCUGCAGUGCAGGGUGCUUUCACUUUGUUGAGCCACUGUCUCUACUUCGAUGAUGUUUAAGCCCAAAACUUCCCUCUGUAGAAGCCUGCCUUCUCCCCUGCAGGACUGGGGGUCCCACUACCAUGCACUGUUUGCCCAUGUCACAGAUCUCACAGAUCCUGCUGCUGCAGAUGGGAAACUGCUAAAGCCUCCCCACACUCACACGCUCACAAGCCAUGCCUGGUGCUCUGCCUGCUUCUUCAUCCCUGCUAUCAUGACAUUUCAUGGUCCCAAGCUCCUAGCGGGAUGUGCCUUCAGGGAACAAUUGCCCAUUGCAAUUUCCCUAUCUUUAUAAUGGGCAAAGCAGAGUGGGACUGUGGGAGAAGCCCCUGUUCCAAAACAGAGGGCUGAGCACCCUUGCCUUCGCAGGACACCAUUGGACAGCUGGAGGAUGACCUGCGAAACACCAAAAAUGAGAUGGCUCGGCACUUGAGGGAGUACCAAGACCUGCUCAACGUCAAGAUGGCCCUUGAUAUUGAGAUAGCUGCCUACAGGAAGCUGCUGGAGGGAGAGGAGACCCUCUUCAACAUGGGAAGCGGUGGCCUUCCAUCACUCAAUUCCCUCCCCAGCCCUACUUACUCCUUCCAGCCAAGGAGCUUUAGUUCCUCUACUCUGUCCUUCAAAGAGGAGGAGCAAGGAGAGGUUAUUAAAGUGACCUCUAAAAUAUCAUCCAGCAGGGCUGAGGUGAUUGAAGGAACCAUAACCUCUGUCAAGAAAAGAGGGAGGUUAAACCUGCAUGGAGGAAUCCUUGCAAAUGCAAAGAUGUAACCAUCAGGACCCUGUUCACAAGCAUUUGAGGGGGAACAGUCUCCACUCGGCCUUGAAAUUGCUCCUCUGGGCACAAAGCUGCACUGGGCUCGCAGGAAGCCUCCCUUAAAAACACGUAACCUCCCCUGGGGACACCGACCCAGGGAUGGCUUCCUUGCGGGUCCUGCCACACAGAGGCCGAGCUUGGCACAUUGCUCCCUUUUAAAUGGGGUGGGGGCACACAGGACAGGUAGCUAGAGAUGCAUGUUGGUCAUUGUGGUGGCACAUGGAUGCGCAGCACGCUCCCUCUCCUCCUGCGGCGGGCGGGCGAGGGGCAGCCAGCUGGGAAUUCUGCUGAGCCAGCUCUCUGGGGAGGGGAGGGAAACAACUCAACAUGUUUACUGUAACUAGUUUCAAGGCUACAUACCUUCAUCUACUAUCCAAAUCCAUGUACAGCUAAACUUUUCCCCACUCCUCGAAUUGUAGCCAUCCACUUUUAACCCUAGAAGCACAGAAAUAGCCAUAACUGGACUGUAACCACACCUGACAUCUGAUCUCAGCCACGUAUAGUUUUGAACUCUAAGGAAUGUUAAUUUUUCUUUGUACUGACCAGUCUUGAUUUCUGACAGCACUAGUCAAGCCAGGCACAUAGGGUUUAUAAGCAGCAGGCACAGGGCAGGAACUGCUACAUUUGAGGUGAAGGCACCAUCAUGCUGGGGUGCAGUACCUCAUGUGGUAUCACUGUCUCCCAAAUAUGAGGGUCUGAGGGCCCCUUGUUUGGCUGCACAGUCUUCAUGUGAAAAACCUGUGCCCAGAUUAGCAUCGUGCCCCAGUCAGCACUGGGAAGCUGAAGGACUCCUGAACACCAGCCUGCAAAGCAUCCUUGUCUCUGCUCUAACUGUUCCAAUCUGUGCCAAAUUUGAUAUAGGAUUUAACAACUAUAGGUUUCCUUCAAUGCCUUAAAUUGCCAGCAAUCGCUUUUGCAAGAGCAGGAGACUCCGUGUGUUGUGUGUCAGUGCCCUGGCAGGGUUAUCAUCAUCAGACCUCGCUGCCCUUGCGGUGCUGCCAGAGUAGUUCCUGGAACCAGCAAAUUGUUUGCUCGCACUCUUUCCUCUUCUAUUGUAAGGCACAAGUUAAUAAUUAAAAAAAGAAAUAGUUGUGUGGAUCAAA
Non-coding RNA from Cyanistes caeruleus (blue tit), 4878 nucleotides. NCBI's taxonomy places the organism in Eukaryota, Metazoa, Chordata, Aves, Passeriformes, Paridae. The record is from RefSeq and is a predicted model, not a curated record.